GUCUCAGUGGCGUAGUGGUUAGCACACGAGCCCGGCUAGGCGCGAGACGCGGGUUCGAAUUCCGCCUGAGAUG
Molecule: transfer RNA, 73 nt
Filed under: Nippostrongylus brasiliensis
Lineage: Eukaryota; Metazoa; Nematoda; Chromadorea; Rhabditida; Heligmosomidae
Rfam family: tRNA
About the family: Transfer RNA (tRNA) molecules are approximately 80 nucleotides in length. Their secondary structure includes four short double-helical elements and three loops (D, anti-codon, and T loops).
Source: Rfam by way of RNAcentral